AGAAGCGCUAUGAGGUAUGACUGUUAAAUAACGAAAAGUAGCUCCUCUUGCUAAAAGCAUUGACUAGAAGUUAUAGCCUUGAAUUCAAAUACUAAUUACACCCACGGUUAUUUAACCUAUGUAACCUAUUGUGCAAAAGUCUUGACCCACCCCUAAUUUCUUUAUCUUUUGCUUCCAAGCUGCCGGAACUUCUUGUAAUUGUAAUAAAAUGCCAAAGAUAACACAGUUGAACAGGCAUGAAGUAAUAUUUUCUGAUUCACCUAUUAACUGAAACCUUUGCAGGUCUUGGCGUGUGUGUGUGUGUGUGUGUGUGUGUGUGUGUGUGUGUGUGUGUGCCAGAUAUCUGGCUGAGCCCUCAUCAGAAAUGGUCUCAGUGGAGGGGUGAAUUUCAAGAAGCAAUUCUUAAGGAAGGAAAACGGAGAAAACGCUGAGGUCUUCCAGGACUGCUGUUCCUUCAAUCACAAUUUUAGCGACAGCUGGGAGAGACACUGCUGCUCGUCUGGUGUCUACAAUCUUUACCACUUCUUCUGGGAACUGUUGUUCACCAUCCUGGCAAGUAGGUAGUUUAAAUGGAAACAUGUCAGCAUUUUAUGUGCCAUUUAAAAAUAAAACACAAAAGAAUGCGAGAUUCACCUACCAGCUGUUCUCUGAAGAGAUCCUCUUCCUUCUCUUUCAGAUACACCUUCAGGCAACGGAUUGCGACCUCUCUCUUCAUUUCCACCGAACUCUGGAGAAUAAAAAAAGCAAAACAAAACUUAAACUUACAGUUUAUUAGGUGAAAAGUCAAAACUAUUACAUUUAUGUGACUUGCAUUGUGCCAAAUAUUGAUUUUAAAUAUGUUUUUAAAAGAAAUAAAGAUUUAAUCUUUGUAACUUCAA
Astatotilapia calliptera (eastern happy) is the source of this 878-nucleotide long non-coding RNA. Lineage: Eukaryota; Metazoa; Chordata; Actinopteri; Cichliformes; Cichlidae. The record is from Ensembl.